UCGUCAUUGCCUGGGGACGAAUGGUUUUGCCUCGGGUUCGUGCGAUGGGCGCUGCUGGUUUAUGUGGGUGUUGGUGUCCUGUCGUGCCGUGUCCUCGUCGAUGCGCUUGUCUUUUGUCUCCAACAUCCGCCAUUAUCGAUACCUUGCAGCGAAGGAGGAGUGGAAUUGUGACUGGGAAGGGCAUGGGCACACGCAGUGGUCGCUUGCCAACUGCCCACUCCGUCCUUAAAGAUCUAUUGUCGGACAUGGCUGACAACGAACGACCCUGCCGUGAUUGGACGCUGGGUCUUGUGGUGUUGCUGGCUAUCCUAUUUUUUUUUAGGGAGCCGGUCUGUGUCUUAUCUUGAGUAGGAUCAAUGAGAAAGUAUUUGGUUAAGAUUGUUUAUAUCGGGG
Molecule: long non-coding RNA, 393 nt
Filed under: Eucalyptus grandis
Lineage: Eukaryota; Viridiplantae; Streptophyta; Magnoliopsida; Myrtales; Myrtaceae
Description: long non-coding RNA (EGRA_LNC007196)
Source: RNAcentral